RNAcentral lists this transfer RNA (91 nucleotides) under Minutocellus polymorphus. RNAcentral's name for it is "tRNA-Ser". It matches the Rfam family "tRNA". From Rfam's summary of the family: Transfer RNA (tRNA) molecules are approximately 80 nucleotides in length. Their secondary structure includes four short double-helical elements and three loops (D, anti-codon, and T loops). Further hydrogen bonds mediate the characteristic L-shaped molecular structure. tRNAs have two regions of fundamental functional importance: the anti-codon, which is responsible for specific mRNA codon recognition, and the 3' end, to which the tRNAs corresponding amino acid is attached (by aminoacyl-tRNA synthetases). tRNAs cope with the degeneracy of the genetic code in two manners: having more than one tRNA (with a specific anti-codon) for a particular amino acid; and 'wobble' base-pairing, i.e. permitting non-standard base-pairing at the 3rd anti-codon position. The record is from RNAcentral. Lineage: Eukaryota; Bacillariophyta; Thalassiosirophyceae; Cymatosirales; Cymatosiraceae.
GGAAAGAUGACUGAGAGGUUUAAAGUGGAGGUCUGCUAAAUCUCUGUAUAUAAAUAAAUAUAUACCGUGGGUUCGAAUCCCACUCUUUCCA